CAGUCGCCGCGGGAAUACGAGGGGGGCAAGCGUUGUUCGGAAUUAUUGGGCGUAAAGGGUGCGUAGGCGGCUUGACAAGUCUUGUGUGAAAUCUAUGGGCUCAACCCAUAGUCUGCACGGGAAACUGUCGGGCUUGAGAAUGGGAGAGGUGAGUGGAAUUUCCGGAGUAGCGGUGAAAUGCGCAGAUAUCAGGAGGAACACCAAUGGCGAAGGCAGCUCGCUGGGACGUGACUGACGCUGAGACGCGAAAGCGUGGGGAGCAAACAGGAUUAGAUACCCCGGUAGUCCCUGUCUCUUAUAC
RNAcentral lists this ribosomal RNA (301 nucleotides) under uncultured bacterium. RNAcentral's name for it is "partial 16S ribosomal RNA". It matches the Rfam family "Bacterial small subunit ribosomal RNA", at positions 509 to 807 of the family's 1533-position model. The record is from RNAcentral.